AACGAACGCUGGCGGCGCGUCUUAACCAUGCAAGUCGAGCGGCAGGCAGCAAUGCCGAGAGCGGCGGACUGGUGAGUACCACGUGGAUAACGUACCCCGAUGUCCGGGACAGCCUGUAGAAAUAGAGGGUAAUACCGGAUAGAUCACUGUUUACGUGAGGUAGACAGCGGGAAAGGAGCUUCGGCUCCGCGACGGGAUCGGUCUGCGGCCCAUCAGCUGGACGGCGGGGUAAAGGCCCGCCGUGGCGAGGACGGGUAUCCGGCCUGAGAGGGCGGACGGACACAUUGGGACUGAGAUACGGCCCAGACUCCUACGGGAGGCAGCAGGUAAGAAUAUUCCGCAAUGGGGGGAACCCUGACGGAGCGACGCCGCGUGAACGAAGAAGGCCGGAAGGUUGUAAAGUUCUUUUCUGUCCGAGGAAUAAGUUUCGGAGGAAAUGCCGGGACGGUGACGGUAGGGCAGGAAUAAGCACCGGCUAAUUACGUG
This 486-nucleotide ribosomal RNA is filed under the name uncultured bacterium. Its description in RNAcentral is "partial 16S ribosomal RNA". It matches the Rfam family "Bacterial small subunit ribosomal RNA", at positions 29 to 507 of the family's 1533-position model. The record is from RNAcentral.